UACGGAGGGGGCUAGCGUUGUUCGGAAUUACUGGGCGUAAAGCGCACGUAGGCGGACUGGAAAGUCAGAGGUGAAAUCCCAGGGCUCAACCUUGGAACUGCCUUUGAAACUCCCGGUCUUGAGGUCGAGAGAGGUGAGUGGAAUUCCGAGUGUAGAGGUGAAAUUCGUCGAUAUUCGGAGGAACCCCAGUGGCGAAGGCGGCUCACUGGCACGAUACUGACGCUGAGGUGCGAAAGCGUGGGGAGCAAACAGG
RNAcentral lists this ribosomal RNA (253 nucleotides) under uncultured bacterium. Its description in RNAcentral is "partial 16S ribosomal RNA". It matches the Rfam family "Bacterial small subunit ribosomal RNA", at positions 524 to 776 of the family's 1533-position model. The record is from RNAcentral.